GGAUAACUACUGGAAACGGUAGCUAAUACCGCAUAACGUCGCAAGACCAAAGAGGGGGACCUUCGGGCCUCUUGCCAUCAGAUGUGCCCAGAUGGGAUUAGCUAGUAGGUGGGGUAACGGCUCACCUAGGCGACGAUCCCUAGCUGGUCUGAGAGGAUGACCAGCCACACUGGAACUGAGACACGGUCCAGACUCCUACGGGAGGCAGCAGUGGGGAAUAUUGCACAAUGGGCGCAAGCCUGAUGCAGCCAUGCCGCGUGUAUGAAGAAGGCCUUCGGGUUGUAAAGUACUUUCAGCGGGGAGGAAGGCGUUGUGGUUAAUAACCACAGCGAUUGACGUUACCCGCAGAAGAAGCACCGGCUAACUCCGUGCCAGCAGCCGCGGUAAUACGGAGGGUGCAAGCGUUAAUCGGAAUUACUGGGCGUAAAGCGCACGCAGGCGGUCUGUCAAGUCGGAUGUGAAAUCCCCGGGCUCAACCUGGGAACUGCAUUCGAAACUGGCAGGCUAGAGUCUUGUAGAGGGGGGUAGAAUUCCAGGUGUAGCGGUGAAAUGCGUAGAGAUCUGGAGGAAUACCGGUGGCGAAGGCGGCCCCCUGGACAAAGACUGACGCUCAGGUGCGAAAGCGUGGGGAGCAAACAGGAUUAGAUACCCUGGUAGUCCACGCCGUAAACGAUGUCGACUUGGAGGUUGUGCCCUUGAGGCGUGGCUUCCGGAGCUAACGCGUUAAGUCGACCGCCUGGGGAGUACGGCCGCAAGGUUAAAACUCAAAUGAAUUGACGGGGGCCCGCACAAGCGGUGGAGCAUGUGGUUUAAUUCGAUGCAACGCGAAGAACCUUACCUACUCUUGACAUCCAGAGAACUUUCCAGAGAUGGAUUGGUGCCUUCGGGAACUCUGAGACAGGUGCUGCAUGGCUGUCGUCAGCUCGUGUUGUGAAAUGUUGGGUUAAGUCCCGCAACGACCGCAACCCUUAUCCUUUGUUGCCACCGGUUAGGCCGGGAACUCAAAGGAAACGGCCCGUGAUAAAC
This 1026-nucleotide ribosomal RNA is filed under the name Enterobacter cloacae. RNAcentral describes it as "bacterial SSU rRNA". It matches the Rfam family "Bacterial small subunit ribosomal RNA", at positions 141 to 1163 of the family's 1533-position model. The record is from RNAcentral. Lineage: Bacteria; Pseudomonadati; Pseudomonadota; Gammaproteobacteria; Enterobacterales; Enterobacteriaceae.